Molecule: long non-coding RNA, 469 nt
Filed under: Ananas comosus (pineapple)
Lineage: Eukaryota; Viridiplantae; Streptophyta; Magnoliopsida; Poales; Bromeliaceae
Description: long non-coding RNA (ACOM_LNC034226)
Source: RNAcentral
GAAGGUUUUCGGAGCUAGAGAAUCAAAAAUCUGCAAACUGUAGUUUUUGAGCUCUCGGGGACCAGUCCCUGGUGGGAGAGACCGGUCCCCGAAUGCGUAAAAAUUGAGAAAGCUGAAAAAUUGACUAAGUCCCUGUCACGCCCCGCACUAACCCCGAGGCCGAUACCAAUUUGGUCCGGAUCGGGCGCGGCGAGCGGACCGCCGGACGAGCAGCACUUCCCCUGUCCGCCCAAGGAUCAAGGAGCAAGAUUGUGUACAACAAGUUCCCAGGAAACACUUGGAUACAUAUACACAAUCCUACAACAACAACAAAGCACAAUCAGUGCCUAUCAACCAAGAGCAAGCAACACAAGUAAAGCAUACAAGUGAUAAAAGAGAGAGAGAUGUACUUAACUAAUAAACUCACUUACUUUAUACAUCCAUUCAUCUUUUACAUUCUUCCAAAAGUAUACAACAUAUACAAUCCUCC